GUUUCUGUAGUGUAGUGGUUAUCACGUUUGCAUCAUACGCAAAAAGUCUCUGGUUCGAAACCAGACAGAAACA
This 73-nucleotide transfer RNA is filed under the name Poecilia formosa (Amazon molly). It matches the Rfam family "tRNA". Rfam says of the family: Transfer RNA (tRNA) molecules are approximately 80 nucleotides in length. Their secondary structure includes four short double-helical elements and three loops (D, anti-codon, and T loops). Further hydrogen bonds mediate the characteristic L-shaped molecular structure. tRNAs have two regions of fundamental functional importance: the anti-codon, which is responsible for specific mRNA codon recognition, and the 3' end, to which the tRNAs corresponding amino acid is attached (by aminoacyl-tRNA synthetases). tRNAs cope with the degeneracy of the genetic code in two manners: having more than one tRNA (with a specific anti-codon) for a particular amino acid; and 'wobble' base-pairing, i.e. permitting non-standard base-pairing at the 3rd anti-codon position. The record is from Rfam by way of RNAcentral. Lineage: Eukaryota; Metazoa; Chordata; Actinopteri; Cyprinodontiformes; Poeciliidae.